Molecule: ribosomal RNA, 422 nt
Filed under: uncultured bacterium
Lineage: Bacteria
Description: bacterial SSU rRNA
Rfam family: Bacterial small subunit ribosomal RNA
Source: RNAcentral
UGAGGAAUAUUGGGCAAUGCCCGAAAGAGUGACCCAGCAACGCCGCGUGGAGGAUGAAGGUCGUAAGAUUGUAAACUCCUGUUAGAGGGGAAGAAUAACUAAGUUUGGAGCUUAGUAUGACUGUACCCUCAGAGAAAGCCCCGGCUAACUACGUGCCAGCAGCCGCGGUAAUACGUAGGGGGCAAGCGUUGUCCGGAUUUACUGGGUGUAAAGGGCGCGCAGGCGGAAUGGAAAGUCAGUGGUGAAAUCCUACAGCUUAACUGUAGAACUGCCUUUGAUACUUUUAUUCUUGAGUUCGGGAGAGAGAGACGGAAUUCCAGGUGUAGUUGUGAAAUACGUAGAUAUCUGGAAGAACACCAGUUGCGAAGGCGGUCUCUUGGUCCGACACUGACGCUGAGGCGCGAAAGCGUGGGGAGCAAACA